UACACUCCUGCGGGAGGCAGCAGUGGGGAAUAUUGGACAAUGGGCGCAAGCCUGAUCCAGCCAUGCCGCGUGAGUGAUGAAGGCCCUAGGGUUGUAAAGCUCUUUCACCGGUGAAGAUAAUGACGGUAACCGGAGAAGAAGCCCCGGCUAACUUCGUGCCAGCAGCCGCGGUAAUACGAAGGGGGCUAGCGUUGUUCGGAUUUACUGGGCGUAAAGCGCACGUAGGCGGACUAUUAAGUCAGGGGUGAAAUCCCGGGGCUCAACCCCGGAACUGCCUUUGAUACUGGUAGUCUUGAGUUCGAGAGAGGUGAGUGGAAUUCCGAGUGUAGAGGUGAAAUUCGUAGAUAUUCGGAGGAACACCAGUGGCGAAGGCGGCUCACUGGCUCGAUACUGACGCUGAGGUGCGAAAGCGUGGGGGGCAAACAGGAUUAGAUACCCUUGUAGUCCCA
RNAcentral lists this ribosomal RNA (449 nucleotides) under uncultured organism. RNAcentral's name for it is "partial 16S ribosomal RNA". It matches the Rfam family "Bacterial small subunit ribosomal RNA", at positions 332 to 797 of the family's 1533-position model. The record is from RNAcentral.